RNAcentral lists this ribosomal RNA (302 nucleotides) under uncultured bacterium. Its description in RNAcentral is "partial 16S ribosomal RNA". It matches the Rfam family "Bacterial small subunit ribosomal RNA", at positions 508 to 809 of the family's 1533-position model. The record is from RNAcentral.
GCAGCAGCCGCGGGAAUACGGAGGGAGCUAGCGUUGUUCGGAAUUACUGGGCGUAAAGCGCGCGUAGGCGGUUAUUUAAGUCAGGGGUGAAAGCCCGGUGCUCAACACCGGAACAGCCCUUGAGACUGGAUAACUUGAAUCCAGGAGAGGUGAGUGGAAUUCCGAGUGUAGAGGUGAAAUUCGUAGAUAUUCGGAAGAACACCAGUGGCGAAGGCGGCUCACUGGACUGGUAUUGACGCUGAGGUGCGAAAGCGUGGGGAGCAAACAGGAUUAGAUACCCGUGUAGUCCCUGUCUCUUAUAA